AGCAGCCGCGGUAAUUCCAGCUCCAAUAGCGUAUAUUAAAGUUGUUGCAGUUAAAAAGCUCGUAGUUGAAUUUCGGGGUCAGUAAGUUGGUCGUGCCACUGGUAUGUACUGGCUUUACUGAUUCCUCCUUCUUGUAGAACCGUAAUGCCAUUAAGUUGGUGUUGCGGGAAAACAGGACUGUUACUUUGAAAAAAUUAGAGUGUUUAAAGCAGCUAACGCUUGAAUACAUUAGCAUGGAAUAAUGAAAUAGGACGAACGAUCCUAUUUUGUUGGUUUCUAGGAUUGACGUAAUGAUUAAUAGGGAUAGUUGGGGGCAUUAGUAUUCAAUUGUCAGAGGUGAAAUUCUUGGAUUUAUUGAAGACUAACUACUGCGAAAGCAUCUGCCAAGGAUGUUUUCAUUAAUCAAGAACGAAAGUUAGGGGAUCGAAGACGAUCAGAUACCGUCGUAGUCUUAACCAUAAACUAUGCCGACUAGGGAUCGGAUGAUGUUAAUUUUUUCAAUGACUCAUUCGGCGCCUUA
RNAcentral lists this ribosomal RNA (520 nucleotides) under uncultured Glomus. RNAcentral's name for it is "SSU rRNA". It matches the Rfam family "Eukaryotic small subunit ribosomal RNA", at positions 569 to 1090 of the family's 1831-position model. Lineage: Eukaryota; Fungi; Glomeromycota; Glomeromycetes; Glomerales; Glomeraceae. The record is from RNAcentral.